AGCUACGUGUUAACGCGUACAUGAAAGAAAAUUCUUCAAAUCUUUAAAGCUUCGUAGCGAAAGAUACGCGUAAAGCUUUGGAAGCUUGUAGUCCAUCGUAUGCAUCCUAACACGCCUUUUUUUAUCUUAUUUUGUACAACUGACACUUCCUGUUCGUUUGUAACGUCUCUAAUGAGAAACAUGCAGUUCUGCUGAAUUUCAAACCAGAAGCGGCACUUUUUUGAAGCUUUUGGACUGCAACGAUAAUUUCUGGAAGCAAGCGUUGUUUGGCUUAAGCUAUCAACUAUCUCAGCUCUUGUAAUCUUAUAUUCAAUUUCGCGAUACAAUUCAGAUAUAAAGAGUUGACGAUCACGGCAAAUUUAUCAUUUGGCUUGUAGCAUUAAA
Xenia sp. Carnegie-2017 is the source of this 384-nucleotide long non-coding RNA. RefSeq lists it as uncharacterized. The transcript has 3 exons. The record is from RefSeq and is a predicted model, not a curated record. NCBI's taxonomy places the organism in Eukaryota, Metazoa, Cnidaria, Anthozoa, Malacalcyonacea, Xeniidae.